This 1059-nucleotide long non-coding RNA is filed under the name Cottoperca gobio. RNAcentral's name for it is "lncRNA (ENSCGOG00000014462.1)". Lineage: Eukaryota; Metazoa; Chordata; Actinopteri; Perciformes; Bovichtidae. The record is from RNAcentral.
CUACUAAUAGCUAAUAGCUAUAGACACACACACAGACACACACAGACACACACAGACACACACAGACACAGACACACACAGACACACACACGGACACACACAGACACACACACAGACACAGACACAGACACACACAGACACAGACACAGACACACACACAGACACACACACAGACACACACAGACACAGACACACACACAGACACACACAGACACACACAGACACACACACACAGACACACAGACACACAGACACACACACACGGACACACACAGACACACACAGACACACACAGACACACACACAGACACACACACACAGACACACACAGACACACACACGGACACACACAGACACACACACAGACACACACACACACACACAGACACACACACACAGACACACACACAAACACACACAGACAGACACACACACACAGACACACACAGACACACACAGACACACACAUACAUACACAGACAGACACACACACAGACAAACACACACAGACACACACACACAUACAUACACAGACACACACAGACACACACACGGACACACACAGACACACACACAGACACACACAGACACACACACAGACACACACAGACACACACACGGACACACACAGACACACACAGACACACACGGACACACACAGACACACACAGACACGGACACACACAGACACACACACAGACACACACAGACACACACAGACACACACACACAGACACACACACAGACACACACAGACACACACACACAGACACACACACACAGACACACACAGACACACACAGACACACACACACAGACACACACAGACACACACACACAGACACACACAGACACACACAGAUACACACUACACACUUCAUAGGAAUAUUACAGAACAUAUCAGAUGCUACACAUACGGAGACGCACAAGGAUUACUUAGUUAUUCUUCUCUGUAAAUACGUUGAAAUCUUCUGUACAGUUCCAGACACUAACACUGACCCCCCCUAUGUGUCAGUUCACCUGCUAACCAUUGAUUUGACUGACAGCACAGACAUUUGA